RNAcentral lists this long non-coding RNA (539 nucleotides) under Hordeum vulgare. Its description in RNAcentral is "long non-coding RNA (HVUL_LNC020598)". Lineage: Eukaryota; Viridiplantae; Streptophyta; Magnoliopsida; Poales; Poaceae. The record is from RNAcentral.
UGUGAAAGUACAGGUACCGAGCAGUCUUUCAUAAGUGCAUAAUUAACUAUACAUAGGAUUAGUCGCCGAGCCGUCCGUCGUUCCAGUGUUCCAGACUUUAAUUUAAUUGCCGCACUGCUGCCUCGGCUCCUCAUAUGCUUCAGUGCUUGCAGCUUGCCAUUCUUCAGAGUAGUCAAGUGAGUGCACUGUGCACGGCCACACUGGUACGAGGAAGCGGGCACAAGGGACAAGAAGAGAUCAAGAGAAGGAGCUCGAUCGGCGACACGGCUCGCCGGCGUCUGCUCGCCCUCGCGGCCUCGUCGCUCCGUCUGCUCACGGCUCGCCGGCCCAUCACCCUGCUCUGCUCGGCUGUCCGAGGUGCCGAUUCUGUCUGCAUAAUAUUCAGGUAUAUGGCUGCACUUUCUAUAAUUCUAUUUGCUGCAAUUCCUGUACUUUUUUAGCUCACCACUGUCGAACUUCAGGCAGCAACUAUGAAAAGAAAAGCAGGGCCAAACAACAUUAAGAUUAAUGCUUUUUUUAAGCCGAUUACUUCAAGUUCA